RNAcentral lists this long non-coding RNA (461 nucleotides) under Bos taurus (domestic cattle). RNAcentral describes it as "long non-coding RNA NONBTAT022680". Lineage: Eukaryota; Metazoa; Chordata; Mammalia; Artiodactyla; Bovidae. The record is from RNAcentral.
UUGAAAUAGAAGACGUGGAACCAGGGAAGGCCCCCAACCAGCCUCUCUGUCCCCCUCUGAAAUUGCACAGUCGUUUGUUGCUAUUUAUUAGUGAUUUAAAGAAAGUGUUGGGGAGGGAUGGGGCUACGAUAGCUUGUAUUUAAUUUAACUCCUUUCGGAUAAAAAUGCGUGUUAAAGUAGAUGGUGGGAAUUGUUACAACCGCUCUGGGUCAGAAACAGAAAACUCCAUUUAGUUGCUGUAAUUGAAUUUGAAGUGUUUUGUAUCAUAAGAAUACUAUAGACUAUGUAAAUUGUUUUCUUUUUUAAAGCUAAUAACGGUGAUAUAUUAGCAUCUUUAACUUUUAUUAAUUUAUAUAAGGAAUUCGGUUUGUAAAGAGAAGAAAACCCCCUUUGCAAGACCAGUUAAAUGUAAUGCACUUUCUGUUUCAAAGGAUAAAUCAAAUUAAAAAACAGUUUGAAGA